GAGAUUUUAUUUUAAAAAAAAUAUAAUUUUUGCUAAAUUAAAAUACAUUUAUUUGUAAAUCUUU
This 64-nucleotide transfer RNA is filed under the name Diplosoma listerianum. RNAcentral describes it as "transfer RNA-Ala". The record is from RNAcentral. Lineage: Eukaryota; Metazoa; Chordata; Ascidiacea; Aplousobranchia; Didemnidae.